AUAAUGGGUCAGCGACUUAUAUUCUGUAGCAAGGUUAACCGUAUAGGGGAGCCGGAGGGAAACCGAGUCUUAAUUGGGCGUUAAGUUGCAGGGUAUAGACCCGAAACCCGGUGAUCUAGCCAUGGGCAGGUUGAAGGUUGGGUAACACUAACUGGAGGACCGAACCGACUAAUGUUGAAAAAUUAGCGGAUGACCUGUGGCUGGGGGUGAAAGGCCAAUCAAACCGGGAGAUAGCUGGUUCUCCCCGAAAGCUAUUUAGGUAGCGCCUCGUGAAUUCAUCUCCGGGGGUAGAGCACUGUUUCGGCUAGGGGGCCAUCCCGGCUUACCAACCCGAUGCAAACUGCGAAUACCGGAGAAUGUUAUCACGGGAGACACACGGCGGGUGCUAACGUCCGUCGUGAAGAGGGAAACAACCCAGACCGCCAGCUAAGGUCCCAAAGUCAUGGUUAAGUGGGAAACGAUGUGGGAAGGCCCAGACAGCCAGGAUGUUGGCUUAGAAGCAGCCAUCAUUUAAAGAAAGCGUAAUAGCUCACUGGUCGAGUCGGCCUGCGCGGAAGAUGUAACGGGGCUAAACCAU
RNAcentral lists this ribosomal RNA (577 nucleotides) under Salmonella enterica subsp. enterica. Its description in RNAcentral is "partial 23S ribosomal RNA". It matches the Rfam family "Bacterial large subunit ribosomal RNA", at positions 612 to 1190 of the family's 2925-position model. Lineage: Bacteria; Pseudomonadati; Pseudomonadota; Gammaproteobacteria; Enterobacterales; Enterobacteriaceae. The record is from RNAcentral.